AUUGAACGCUGGCGGCAUGCUUUACACAUGCAAGUCGAGCGGUAACAGGCCGCAAGGUGCUGACGAGUGGCGAACGGGUGAGUAAUGCAUCGGAACGUGCCCAGUCGUGGGGGAUAACGCAGCGAAAGCUGUGCUAAUACCGCAUACGAUCUAUGGAUGAAAGCGGGGGACCGUAAGGCCUCGCGCGAUUGGAGCGGCCGAUGUCAGAUUAGCUAGUUGGUGGGGUAAAGGCCCACCAAGGCGACGAUCUGUAGCUGGUCUGAGAGGACGACCAGCCACACUGGGACUGAGACACGGCCCAGACUCCUACGGGAGGCAGCAGUGGGGAAUUUUGGACAAUGGGCGCAAGCCUGAUCCAGCAAUGCCGCGUGCAGGAAGAAGGCCUUCGGGUUGUAAACUGCUUUUGUACGGAACGAAACGGUCUGGGUUAAUACCCUGGGCUAAUGACGGUACCGUAAGAAUAAGCACCGGCUAACUACGUGCCAGCAGCCGCGGUAA
RNAcentral lists this ribosomal RNA (498 nucleotides) under uncultured bacterium. Its description in RNAcentral is "partial 16S ribosomal RNA". It matches the Rfam family "Bacterial small subunit ribosomal RNA", at positions 29 to 523 of the family's 1533-position model. The record is from RNAcentral.